Molecule: long non-coding RNA, 1908 nt
Filed under: Mus musculus (house mouse)
Lineage: Eukaryota; Metazoa; Chordata; Mammalia; Rodentia; Muridae
Description: long non-coding RNA chr16:87440619-87442527
Source: RNAcentral
UCUUCUUGCUUAGCGUUCACGUCUGGAGCAGCGAAGGGGUGCUUUGACCCCCGCCGGUUGCUUUCUGGUCCUGGUUUUUAUUCUUAAUAUUUCACCAUCCCGGACUCAUUGUCUUCCUGGGGACCGGGGCUGUGGCGGUGAUACAGGACUGGCAAGGAAUGCCAGCCAGCAGACAAAGAACAGAUCCUCUUCUGCAGGUGGCAGGACUUUAAUGCCUAAUGCGUCUAGAAAAGAAGUAUUUAAUAGCUGACAGUCUUGUCAUUCUCUUUUCUAUACGUGACCCGUCCCUACAGAGAGAGAGAGAGAGAGAGAGAGAGAGAGAGAGAAAUUCCAGGCUUAGGAAAGUGUUUGGUAGUUGCAUUUUAACUAGGCUAGAAGUAAAACUCUGAGAGAUUAAGUAUGGUCUUAAUCUCUUAUUCCUACCUAACAACACUUUCCUAAGUAAGUGCUAGAGAAAAGCUCGGGGUCUCAAACAGGCCACCACUCCAACUGACGCCCCCGGGGACAAGGCAAACUUUAGUUGAUCAAGUGGGCGCUCUCAGGAAAACGUGGACACAGAUAGGAAAUGCAUUUGGUUUUGUUGGUGGUUGGCUGGUUGGAUUUUUUUUAUGAGGCAGUGUUUCCACGUGUAGCCUUGGCUAUCCUGGAACUCUCCCUGUCGGUCAGGCUGGCCUCUGCCUCUGUCUCCACCGCCUACCAAUGCAUUUGGCUUUUAUUUUAGCUCAGGUGGUGACUGCCUUUCCCCACUAGUUGGUGCCAUACCUGGAAGUCUUAAUUCAGUUUAGCUAGUCUGAAAAUAAUUGGUACAUAGAACAUGAAGGAGGGGGCGGUGGUGCACACUUUUUAAUCCCAACGUGAGGGAGGCAGAGGCAGACUCAGGCACAACUCUGAGUUUGAGGCCAUCCAGCCUGGUCUACAGAGUGAAUUCCAGGAUAGCUAGGAUUACACCGGGAAAAAAAAGAGAAGGAAAGCGUUAGGGAAAAGGGUCACUGUUUUGAGGAGAGAAGGGUUACACUACUCUAGGUGAUCAAAUUACUGGGAAAGAGGGCUUUGCCAUUUGUGUAAACAGGUUUAAACUGGAGGGCAGCGUCAAGCCUUAACGAGGUGGGAGAGAAAACUAUUUGAAUUCCUUGUUGGUUCUAAACACAAGUUUUAUGUUAUUUGCUAGGAGAUGCAUCUGAUAUUUCUUUCAGCAGGUUUGUUAAUCAUCAAAUUAAUGUGAAGCUUGCUGUUGUCCCUUCUUCAGGAGCCUUGCAGGCUGUGUUGAGUGGAGCCAACAUAGGUCCACUGGAGCCAUUGUUAACUGAGAAUGUGGGCAGAUAUGGAUUAGACAGUGGUGGAGAUAAUUCCAAAUCCUGGGUUUCUAGAACCUUCCCUCUUGUGGCACUUCUUGUCUCUAAACCAGAGAGCAGUAAGACACUAAAAUCGUGAGCAGGUAACUAAUGUUAACCACCCUGGCUUUAAGUGGUCUUGGCUGGUAACCACGCUGGGAAGAGCUGUCAGUUUAUCCCUGUUAAUAAAAGGACAGAGAAAGGGGCUCCAGCAUGAAAGUACUGCCUUAUCCAACCAUAUACAAUCCACUCUCUUUUCCUUAUCCAACCAUAUACAAUACACUCUUUUUUCAUUUCUUUAAAUCAUUUUAGAAAUGAUUUAUAAACACUUAUUCAUUGAUAGUAGUACACACAACCUUUCAGAACUGGAAGAAAAAAAAAACCCAUAAAGACAAUAUUUUAUAGCAGCUCUCUAGCCCCAUCGUGGAUGUUUUGUGUUUUUGCCAAUUCAAUUACAUAAGGACUUUUCCCUCCAGCUUUUUAAAUGAAAGCUUUAAAGCAGAUGUGAAGAGAGGAGCGUGCCUUGGCACACUCCCCAACAUACUCCAGCCACACUCGGCCACGUCUGGAUGUCCUG